RNAcentral lists this ribosomal RNA (253 nucleotides) under uncultured bacterium. Its description in RNAcentral is "partial 16S ribosomal RNA". It matches the Rfam family "Bacterial small subunit ribosomal RNA", at positions 524 to 776 of the family's 1533-position model. The record is from RNAcentral.
UACGUAGGGUGCGAGCGUUAAUCGGAAUUACUGGGCGUAAAGCGUGCGCAGGCGGUUCGUUGUGUCUGAUGUGAAAGCCCCGGGCUCAACCUGGGAAUGGCAUUGGAAACUGGCGAGCUGGAGUGUGGCAGAGGGGGGUGGAAUUCCGCGUGUAGCAGUGAAAUGCGUAGAGAUGCGGAGGAACACCGAUGGCGAAGGCAGCCCCCUGGGCAAACACUGACGCUCAGGCACGAAAGCGUGGGGAGCAAACAGG